UACGAGAAAACCCAACAAUCUUGGUGUGGAAACAGCAAACGGACAUGAUUAUUUUCUCCCUAUAAAAUAAACCAUAAAAUGACCGUAGUGACCUUAUUUCUCUUUCUGCGGGUAUUUCACCUGAAAGCCACCGGAAGGGAGGAAGAAAGGAAUAAAGGGAAGGGUCAGCCAGGAAACUCAGCACGGAGCAGACAAUGGCUCCAUCGAAGGGUGUUGUGAUUACAGUGCCAGUGCUUGUGCUCUCAGUAGCUUCGGCUGCCAUCUUCCUCUUCUUCCUCUUCUCCUCUCUCUCCUCAUGCUCCUGCCCCACUACCACCACCACCUCCAUCGCCACUACCGCCACCACCGACACCGCCACCGCCUCCUCCUCCGCCAACAAGAGAUCAACAACGGAUCGAAUAUCUCCAACAGCUGAAGACAUUGAGUGGGUGAGAGAUCAAAUCCAGCGGAACAACCUACAUAUGCAACUCAAUGUCCUCCGCAAGGGCAUCAACCCUCGCACCCGCGCCCAACAGCUCCAAGAUUUGAACCAAUUCAAGGGUAUCUCUCAUUACGAAGGAGAUGAAGCGAACAACCACACUUCCUUGCCAUGCCCUGGGGAAUUGCUCGUGGAGGAGCACCAUAGCAACUACGGGGAACCGUGGGCUGGAGGUCGCGAUGUGUUUGAGUUCCUUGCAGAGUCAGUUCAGCUGAAGCCCGACUCACGCGUCCUUGAGAUUGGAUGCGGUACCCUUCGUGUUGGAUUGCAUUUUAUCCGUUACCUGGUUCCAGAGCACUUCCAUUGCCUAGAAAGGGAUGAGCUUUCUCUUAUGGCGGCAAUUAGGUAUGAGCUCCCAUCUCAGGGUUUAUUGUACAAGCGCCCAUUGAUUGUGAAAGGUGAGGAUAUGGAAUUCCGUAGGUUUGGAUCAGGAUUCUUGUAUGAUUUGAUCUAUGCAAGUGCUGUUUUCCUUCACAUGCCUGAUAAGCUCGUUUGGGUGGGAUUGGAGAGGCUGGUGACAAGGUUAAAGCCUUAUGAUGGCCGGAUCUUUGUCUCUCACAAUAUAAAGUUCUGUUCUAGGUUGGGAGGAGAGGAGUGUACAAAGAGGUUGACAAGUAUAGGGCUUGAGUAUCUUCGAAAACAUACUCAUGAUAGCUUGCUCUUCAACCACUAUGAGAUUUGGUUUGAGUUCGGACGAUCUAAGGUUUAAAACUUGUGAUUCAUUUCUUGCAAAUUGAGAUUCAGUUGAUUGUGAUUCACAAUGAAGGAUGCUCAAUGUAGCUUUUAUGUGCUCGGGUUAACAAACCUUCCAUGACAUUUUGAGGUCAAUGAAGCUAGAAUUCUAACCGAGAAGCUGCUGAUAUGCCAGUGGACCAAGAAUUUGCAAAGAAGUUGGGACUCAACUGUGUAAUUAUGGAAAUUUGCAUCUGUAACUUUACGUGUGAGGUUUUCAGGAAAAAAAAAAUGGCAGCCCCCUUGGUAUAUGAUGCUAUUAGGUCCCACACCAUACCCAUUAUGUUGUUGGAUUUUUUCUCAAGUGCUUGAGAGAGAGAGACAGUGAACCAAGAAGCUUCAUAGCCUCACAACCCCUCCCCGUGGGAACGGUUGUCUGUAGCGCAUGCUACAGGGUGUGCAGAUCCAAGGGCUGGGAGCCCUCAGAUGCAGAGCACAAGGCAUGGAUGCACAUCCCAAGGUGCUACCAGUCCUCGCAUCUGCAUUACAUGUCGUGUUGGUGUUGUGCAACCGAGGAUCCCGAUCUCCCCCCUUUCUUUCUUUCUCCCACUAUUUUUUUUUCUUCUUUUUUUGCUAUCUCAUUGGCCUGUUAUCAUUAGAAGGAUCUGGAGUUAGAUUGAGACGAAUCUAGCAUCAUUGCAGUCCUUUAUACAAAGUGAACAAUAUCUUUACUAUACUCAUUGAAAUAGGAUGAGAUCUUCAAUUA
Macadamia integrifolia is the source of this 1916-nucleotide RNA transcript. RefSeq lists it as uncharacterized. NCBI's taxonomy places the organism in Eukaryota, Viridiplantae, Streptophyta, Magnoliopsida, Proteales, Proteaceae. The transcript is spliced from 3 exons. The record is from RefSeq and is a predicted model, not a curated record.